UGGGGAAUAUUGCACAAUGAGGGAAACCCUGAUGCAGCGACGCCGCGUGGAGGAAGAAGGUCUUCGGAUUGUAAACUCCUGUUGUUGAGGAAGAUAAUGACGGUACUCAACAAGGAAGUGACGGCUAACUACGUGCCAGCAGCCGCGGUAAAACGUAGGUCACAAGCGUUGUCCGGAAUUACUGGGUGUAAAGGGAGCGCAGGCGGGAAGACAAGUUGGAAGUGAAAUCCAUGGGCUCAACCCAUGAACUGCUUUCAAAACUGUUUUUCUUGAGUAGUGCAGAGGUAGGCGGAAUUCCCGGUGUAGCGGUGGAAUGCGUAGAUAUCGGGAGGAACACCAGUGGCGAAGGCGGCCUACUGGGCACCAACUGACGCUGAGGCUCGAAAGUGUGGGUAGCAAACAGGAUUAGAUACCCUGGUAGUCCACACUGUAAACGAUGAUUACUAGGUGUUGGAGGAUUGACCCCUUCAGUGCCGCAGUUAACACAAUAAGUAAUCCACCUGGGGAGUACGACCGCAAGGUUGAAACUCAAAGGAAUUGACGGGGGCCCGCACAAGCAGUGGAGUAUGUGGUUUAAUUCGACGCAACGCGAAGAACCUUACCAAGUCUUGACAUCCUGCGACGGUGCUGGAAACAGAACUUUCCUUCGGGACGCAGAGACAGGUGGUGCAUGGUUGUCGUCAGCUCGUGUCGUGAGAUGUUGGGUUAAGUCCCGCAACGAGCGCAACCCUUAUGGUCAGUUACUACGCAAGAGGACUCUGGCCAGACUGCCGUUGACAAAACGGAGGAAGGUGGGGAUGACGUCAAAUCAUCAUGCCCUUUAUGACUUGGGCUACACACGUACUACAAUGGCGUUAAACAAAGAGAAGCAAGACCGCGAGGUGGAGCAAAACUCAGAAACAACGUCCCAGUUCGGACUGCAGGCUGCAACUCGCCUGCACGAAGUCGGAAUUGCUAGUAAUCGCAGAUCAGCAUGCUGCGGUGAAUACGUUCCC
Molecule: ribosomal RNA, 995 nt
Filed under: uncultured bacterium
Lineage: Bacteria
Description: bacterial SSU rRNA
Rfam family: Bacterial small subunit ribosomal RNA
Source: RNAcentral